RNAcentral lists this ribosomal RNA (481 nucleotides) under uncultured bacterium. RNAcentral's name for it is "bacterial SSU rRNA". It matches the Rfam family "Bacterial small subunit ribosomal RNA", at positions 28 to 526 of the family's 1533-position model. The record is from RNAcentral.
GAUGAACGCUGGCGGCGUGCUUAACACAUGCAAGUCGAACGAUUAACCCACCUUCGGGUGGUUAUAGAGUGGCGAACGGGUGAGUAACACGUGACCAACCUACCUCUUAUUUUGGGAUAACUCAAAGAAAUUUAAGCUAAUACCAAAUAUUCUUCUUUCCUCGCAUGAGGAUCUAAGGAAAGUUCAGGCGAUAAGAGAUGGGGUCGCGGCCUAUUAGGUAGUUGGUGGGGUAACGGCCCACCAAGCCCAUGAUAGGUAGCCGGGUUGAGAGACUGAUCGGCCACAUUGGGACUGAGAUACGGCCCAGACUCCUACGGGAGGCAGCAGUGGGGAAUUUUGCGCAAUGGGGGAAACCCUGACGCAGCAACGCCGCGUGCGGGAUGAAGGCCUUCGGGUUGUAAACCGCUUUCAGUAGGGAAGAAAUUGACGGUACCUACAGAAGAAGCUCCGGCUAACUACGUGCCAGCCGCCGCAGUAACAC